AAAGAUGUGGGGGAAGAGAUUCUCUAGAAGCAAGGAGCAGCACAAACAAAGCAAAGGGAAUGUGCAUCUGAGAAAAUAAGUGGUCUAAUCCAUCCCAACUCCAAGCCUGUAUGGUGGUAUGGGGUGGAUAGAGAUGAUGUCCCACAAAGCAGAAGUACAGAACGGGAGUGAAACGAGACCCAACAACAGAGAGGAAAGAUUAACAGGAAGUCCUUGCUUAGGUUGGUAAGAAGCAUCAAGCUUUCAAGACUAAUGAUUUAUCUGCAUUCAAAACAAGUUCAAUUAUUGAAGCAGAACAACCCAGUAUUCAAAUCUAAAAGUCUGACAGGUUUUGUACUGUGGUUUGAAACUUAACUAUGUGAAAUAACUUGAUGGCAAUUAAAAUGAUUUAUUCUGU
RNAcentral lists this long non-coding RNA (397 nucleotides) under Homo sapiens (human). RNAcentral describes it as "HSALNT0377384". Lineage: Eukaryota; Metazoa; Chordata; Mammalia; Primates; Hominidae. The record is from RNAcentral.